Molecule: ribosomal RNA, 269 nt
Filed under: uncultured prokaryote
Description: partial 16S ribosomal RNA
Rfam family: Bacterial small subunit ribosomal RNA
Source: RNAcentral
UACGUAGGGGGCGAGCGUUGUCCGGAAUGAUUGGGCGUAAAGGGCGCGCAGGCGGCCUGUCAAGUCAGUAGUGGAAGUCCAUUUUUCAAGGAUGGAAGUGCUAUAGAAACUGAUGGGCUUGAGUGCAGGAGAGGUUAUCGGAAUUCCCGGUGUAGCGGUGAAAUGCGUAGAGAUCGGGAGGAACACCAGUGGCGAAGGCGGGUAACUGGACUGCAACUGACGCUGAGGCGCGAAAGUGUGGGGAGCAAACAGGAUUAGAUACCCGCGUA